RNAcentral lists this ribosomal RNA (602 nucleotides) under uncultured bacterium. RNAcentral describes it as "bacterial SSU rRNA". It matches the Rfam family "Bacterial small subunit ribosomal RNA", at positions 222 to 820 of the family's 1533-position model. The record is from RNAcentral.
UGGAUGGGGAUGCGUCUGAUUAGCUUGUUGGCGGGGCAACGGCCCACCAAGGCGACGAUCAGUAGGGGUUCUGAGAGGAAGGCCCCCCACAUUGGAACUGAGACACGGUCCAAACUCCUACGGGAGGCAGCAGUGAGGAAUAUUGGUCAAUGGGCGAGAGCCUGAACCAGCCAAGUAGCGUGCAGGAUGACGGCCCUAUGGGUUGUAAACUGCUUUUAUGCGGGGAUAAAGCGGGUCUACGUGUGGCCCUUUGCAGGUACCGCAUGAAUAAGGACCGGCUAAUUCCGUGCCAGCAGCCGCGGUAAUACGGAAGGUCCGGGCGUUAUCCGGAUUUAUUGGGUUUAAAGGGAGCGCAGGCCGGGUAUUAAGCGUGUUGUGAAAUGUAGGCGCCCAACGUCUGCACCGCAGCGCGAACUGGUGCCCUUGAGUACGCACGACGUUGGCGGAAUUCGCCGUGUAGCGGUGAAAUGCUUAGAUAUGGCGAAGAACUCCGAUUGCGAAGGCAGCUGACGGGAGCGCUACUGACGCUCAUGCUCGAAAGCGCGGGUAUCGAACAGGAUUAGAUACCCUGGUAGUCCGCGCGGUAAACGAUGGAUGCCCGC